ACGGAGAGGGCGAUUUCUAUGUAGAUGAGGCAGCGCAGGGGCUGCUGCUUUGCCACGAAAGAGUUCCCGUGCCGUGGGAGCAAGUCUGGGACCGCUGGUCGGACCGGAGAGUCGCAGCUGUGUGUUAGGGCUAGGAUGGCUCCGGGAUGCGCGUGACGCAAGUGACCUUGCGUGUAAAGGGAUACAUGAUCCCUUAAUUCAGGCUCAGGCUGAAGAACUGACCCACUUACGACAGAAGACACAGGAAGGGAGAGGUGUCUGCUACCUUUUUACCCAGCAUGUGAAGAACACAGUCAAGUCUUUUGAGGGCCUUCUCAGGAACACUGGCAUUGCCUACUACCAGAGACAGAGAUUCUGUGAGCAAAUGGUACAAGGAAGCCAGCUGACAGAGAUCCUUGUCAGAAAACUUGUCACAGAGAGACGGGGUUUCACCACAUUGGCCAGGCCGAUCUCAAACUCCUGACCUCAUGUGACCCACAUUGGCCUGGCAAAGUGCUGGGAUUACAAGCAUGAGCCACCACACUGGCCUAGCUUCUUUAAUACAAGAAUCACCCCCAAUUCUCACCAACAAACUGAGAAGAAAAAAAAAAGAAUUACCCCCAAGAACAUCUGAGGAAGCACAACAGGGACAGACUUGAAGGCACCUGGGCAGUCCUCUGGAGGGACAUCAAGGAGGAAGAAAUGGAUAAAGUCCUGGAGGGACUUCAAACAGUAUUUGACCCAUUCCAGCCGCCAUGACUCCCACCAGCUUCGCAGCAGCAAUGCCUUCCUCUUUGAUGCACAGGAAGGCCCCUCGGCUGUGGAUAUAGCCAAAGAUGAGAUCCAGAGACAGCGGUAGCACCUGAAGGAGACCCUUUUCAUCAACAACUGCCUGUGAGAAAAGCUGGAAUGUCAUCUCAGCAGCUUUGAUGAAGAAAAUGGUGGGAGAGGCCCAAGUCAGCACAUCAUAGAUUCCAUCGUCCAGCUGUAUAAUGAAAACAGAGUUCUCAGAGAACACCGGAGACUCCCCCGACUUGCCUGAAUCAAGUUUCUAGAGGUAAGCGGUGAAAAUCCACAAUAUGAAGUCACUCUCAGACGGGUCCCUUCUCUUGUCACACUCCACUGUAGAAACAAAAGAGGACGGGGAAGCCAGAGCUGCUCAAAACCUUAUAACCCACAAUUGUCAUAGUUAUUCUCAACUUACACAGGGCUGCUUUCUAGACGCACCCCCUCCAGGCCCCCAGACUGCCAGGCUCCAGGAAUAAGUAGCUCUGAGAAAUAUAGUUUUUCGGUGGAAGCCACACUCCACUAUUGCAAAUUGGAGAAGAGAAGGACAAACUUAAAAGGUGAAAAGAUUUAAGAGAACAACAUGGUGAAACCCCAUCUCUACUAAAAAUACAAAAAUUAGCUAGGCGUGGUGACAUGCACCUGUAGUCCCAGCUACUCAGGAGGCUGAGGCAGGAGAAUCAUUUCAACCUGGGAGGCGGAGGUUGCAGUGACCCAAGAUUGCUCCACUGCACUCUAGCCUGGGUGACAGAGCAAGACUCCCUCUCAAGAAAAAAAGAAGAAAGAAAGAAAGAAGAAAGAAAACAAUUGUUUUAGUUGAAUACAUUUUGUCAAGAUUAAAUCAACUUUCCCCUAGGGUACUGAUAGAAUAAGCAAUCAUAAUUUAGAUUCUAACUUACUGGUCUUUGAGAAAUUGUGAAAACAAAAAAGGUGCCAUAAGCCAAAAAAGGAGCAAAAGUCCUAAUU
Molecule: long non-coding RNA, 1731 nt
Filed under: Homo sapiens (human)
Lineage: Eukaryota; Metazoa; Chordata; Mammalia; Primates; Hominidae
Description: long non-coding RNA NONHSAT005741.2
Source: RNAcentral